GGUGGCAAGCGUUAUCCGGAAUUAUUGGGCGUAAAGGGUGCGUAGGCGGUCUGCUAAGUCCAUGGUGAAAGCGUGGGGCUCAACCCCAUAUAGCCAUGGGUACUGACAGACUAGAGUACUGGAGAGGGUAGUGGAAUUCCAUGUGUAGCGGUAAAAUGCGUAGAUAUAUGGAGGAACACCGGUGGCGAAGGCGGCUACCUAGACAGAGACUGACGCUGAGGCACGAAAGCGUGGGGAGCAAAUA
This 244-nucleotide ribosomal RNA is filed under the name uncultured bacterium. RNAcentral describes it as "partial 16S ribosomal RNA". It matches the Rfam family "Bacterial small subunit ribosomal RNA", at positions 530 to 774 of the family's 1533-position model. The record is from RNAcentral.